Molecule: ribosomal RNA, 305 nt
Filed under: uncultured bacterium
Lineage: Bacteria
Description: bacterial SSU rRNA
Rfam family: Bacterial small subunit ribosomal RNA
Source: RNAcentral
CCUACGGGGGGCAGCAGUGGGGGAUAUUGCACAAUGGGGGGAACCCUGAUGCAGCGACGCCGCGUGGGUGAAGAAGCGCCUCGGCGCGUAAAGCCCUGUCAGCAGGGAAGAAAAUGACGGUACCUGAAGAAGAAGCCCCGGCUAACUACGUGCCAGCAGCCGCGGUAAUACGUAGGGGGCAAGCGUUAUCCGGAUUUACUGGGUGUAAAGGGAGCGUAGACGGCGUAUCAAGUCUGAUGUGAAAGGCAGGGGCUCAACCCCUGGACUGCAUUGGAAACUGGUAUGCUUGAGUGCCGGAGGGGUAA